AAAAUGUCCCAAAAUGUCCCAAAAUGUCCCAAAAAUGUCCCAAAAAUGUCCCAAAAUGUCCCUACCCGGGCGCUCCCCCGGCAGCUCCUUCUCCAGCUCCAGGGGUUUAGACAUCCUCAGUUCUGGGGGGGAAAAAUAAUCAAAUCAGCCCCAAAUCACCCCAAAAUCAGCCCAAAAUCACCCCAAAAUCAGCCCCAAAUCACCCCAAAAAUCAGCCCCAAAUCACCCCAAAAUCAGCCCAAAUCACCCCAAAAUCACCCCAAAAUUACCCCAAAAUCAGCCCCAAAUCACCUCAAAAUCAGCCCCAAAUCACCCCAAAAUCAGCCCCAAAUCACCCCAAAAUCAGCCCCAAAUCACCUCAAAAAUCAGCCCCAAAUCACCCCAAAAUCAGCCCCAAAAUCACCCCAAAAUCAGCCCCAAAUCACCUCCAAAAUCAGCCCAAAUCACCCCAAAAUCAGCCCAAAAUUACCCCAAAAUCAGCCCAAAAUCACCCCAAAAAUCAGCCCCAAAUCACCUCAAAAUAAGCCCCAAAUCACCCCAAAAUCAGCCCCAAAUCACCCUAAAAAUCAGCCCCAAAUUACCCCAAAAAUCAGCCCCAAAUCUCCCCAAAAUCAGCCCCAAAUCACCCCAAAAAUCAGCCCAAAAUCAGCCCAAAAUGACCCCAAAAUCAGCCCCAAAUCACCCCAAAAAUCAGCCCCAAAUCACCCCAAAAAUCACCCCAAAAUCAGCCCAAAAUCAGCCUGAAAUCGCUUCAUCCCCAAAACCCCCCAGGGCCGCCCCAAAAUCAGCGGAAAUCCCCUCAAAAUGACCCAAAACCGCCCCAAAAUUACCCCAAAUUGUCCAAAAUCUGCCCAAUGUGAGCCAAAAUUGUUCCAAAUCGCCAUGAAAUGACCCCAAAACCACCUCAAGAUGACCCAAAAUUGUUCAAAAUCACCCCAAAAUCACUCCAGAAUCUCCUGAUGCCCGACGUCCCCCAAGACCUCCCCAAAAACAGCGGAAAUCAC
Molecule: long non-coding RNA, 1004 nt
Filed under: Chloebia gouldiae (Gouldian finch)
Lineage: Eukaryota; Metazoa; Chordata; Aves; Passeriformes; Passeridae
Description: Erythrura gouldiae (Gouldian finch) lncRNA (ENSEGOG00005018486.1)
Source: RNAcentral